This is a long non-coding RNA of Lycium barbarum (goji berry), 519 nucleotides long. RefSeq lists it as uncharacterized. The record is from RefSeq and is a predicted model, not a curated record. Lineage: Eukaryota; Viridiplantae; Streptophyta; Magnoliopsida; Solanales; Solanaceae. The transcript has 3 exons.
CUUCUCAAACACAGGUGGUCGAUUGCAACUCUAGCCCUAGUUUCUACACAUCGAACCCAUCGUCUGCUCUUCCUACUUUCAACAAAUUGAUUUCUCAUCUCCUUAUAUUCUUCUCUUGUUCAUCAAAGACCCUCAAGGUUCAAUAUGAAACCAUUAAAGACUGAUGAGGUGGGAUCAACUAUGAAGACUACUACCAGAUAUGCAUUCGUCGCGCCAGGUGCUAUACGAAAGGGACAAGGACGAGGAGGGCUUAGAUCUUUGAUUGAGAAAGAGCAUAUGCCAACUAAGAGUUUAUUUCCUCAAUCUAGUGACGUAGUUAAGCAAUACAUCCAAGAAAUUGAAACAAGUGCCACAGGGAAGGGACAAGGACAAAAGCUUAUAAAAUCUACGAUUUCUUCUAGUCAAGGAAUGAAAAUGAUACAUAAAAAUUCCAUGGUUCUUGAGAAAGAAUAUAUGCAAACUGAUAGUCCAUUGCCUCCAUUCACUGAUCAAGUUAAGCAAUACACCCAAAAAGUUGAA